GUCUUUGUUGAUAAAAGCAAUGCUGGUCAAAUUAUUAAAAACGUUACCGGUAGUGUGGAACCUAACCAAAUUACCGUUAUUUUUGGUCCUAGUGGCAGUGGCAAAACGACCCUAAUUAAACAGUUAGGUUUAGUUGAAAAUCCGACCUGUGGUUUUUUGAACUGUGGUAACUUUUAUUACUUUGCCAACCAAAAACAUAACCGUGCCACAAAGCAGUUCCAAAACAGCAUUGGCUAUGUGUUACAAAAAGCCGAAGAACAGUUUUUCUGUGAUUCCGUUUUAGAAGAGGUGUUAACGGGAGCGAUUAACCUCGGUUUGUGUCAAAAGGGUGAUGUCAACUUUGCCAAAAAGUACUUAGAGAUGUGUGGUUUGGACCACAUUCCCUUAAUUAAAAACCCCUUGG
Molecule: small RNA, 403 nt
Filed under: Mycoplasmoides pneumoniae M129
Lineage: Bacteria; Bacillati; Mycoplasmatota; Mycoplasmoidales; Mycoplasmoidaceae
Description: Mycoplasma pneumoniae M129 ncRNA
Source: RNAcentral